ACCCAUGUGGCCUAAUGGAUAGGGCGUCUGCCUCCUAAGUAGAAGGGUGAGGAUUCGAGUCCCGCCGCGGGUG
This 73-nucleotide transfer RNA is filed under the name Taenia asiatica. It matches the Rfam family "tRNA". Rfam says of the family: Transfer RNA (tRNA) molecules are approximately 80 nucleotides in length. The record is from Rfam by way of RNAcentral. Lineage: Eukaryota; Metazoa; Platyhelminthes; Cestoda; Cyclophyllidea; Taeniidae.